Molecule: ribosomal RNA, 647 nt
Filed under: uncultured Bacilli bacterium
Lineage: Bacteria; Bacillati; Bacillota; Bacilli
Description: bacterial SSU rRNA
Rfam family: Bacterial small subunit ribosomal RNA
Source: RNAcentral
AAAAGAGGAGUGGCGAACGGGUGAGUAACACGUGGGUAACCUGCCCAUCAGAAGGGGAUAACACUUGGAAACAGGUGCUAAUACCGUAUAACAAUCAAAACCGCAUGGUUUUGAUUUGAAAGGCGCUUUCGGGUGUCGCUGAUGGAUGGACCCGCGGUGCAUUAGCUAGUUGGUGAGGUAACGGCUCACCAAGGCCACGAUGCAUAGCCGACCUGAGAGGGUGAUCGGCCACAUUGGGACUGAGACACGGCCCAAGCUCCUACGGGAGGCAGCAGUAGGGAAUCUUCGGCAAUGGACGAAAGUCUGACCGAGCAACGCCGCGUGAGUGAAGAAGGUUUUCGGAUCGUAAAACUCUGUUGUUAGAGAAGAACAAGGAUGAGAGUAACUGUUCAUCCCUUGACGGUAUCUAACCAGAAAGCCACGGCUAACUACGUGCCAGCAGCCGCGGUAAUACGUAGGUGGCAAGCGUUGUCCGGAUUUAUUGGGCGUAAAGCGAGCGCAGGCGGUUUCUUAAGUCUGAUGUGAAAGCCCCCGGCUCAACCGGGGAGGGUCAUUGGAAACUGGGAGACUUGAGUGCAGAAGAGGAGAGUGGAAUUCCAUGUGUAGCGGUGAAAUGCGUAGAUAUAUGGAGGAACACCAGUGGCGAA